Molecule: ribosomal RNA, 300 nt
Filed under: uncultured Kosmotoga sp.
Lineage: Bacteria; Thermotogati; Thermotogota; Thermotogae; Kosmotogales; Kosmotogaceae
Description: bacterial SSU rRNA
Rfam family: Bacterial small subunit ribosomal RNA
Source: RNAcentral
UCUAAUGUGGUGCCCGACGCGGCGGUAAGCCGGAGGGGGGUAGGGUUGUGCGGAAUGACUGGGCGUAAAGCCGGGGCCUGGGGCUUUCCAAGCAAGGGGUGAAAGCCCGGAGCGUAACUCCGUAACGGCCAUUGAAACUGUUUAGCUUGAGAAUAAGAGAGGUGAUUGGAAUGCCCAGUGUAGAGGUGAAAUUCGUAGAUAUUGGGAAGAACACCGGUGGCGAAGGCGGCUCACUGGCUCAUUACUGACGCUCAGGCGCGACAGCGUGGGGAUCAAACAGGAUUAGAUACCCUGGUAGUC